RNAcentral lists this ribosomal RNA (55 nucleotides) under Planococcus maitriensis. RNAcentral's name for it is "partial 23S ribosomal RNA". RNAcentral also lists the same sequence under 1 other name. The record is from RNAcentral. Lineage: Bacteria; Bacillati; Bacillota; Bacilli; Caryophanales; Caryophanaceae.
GAAGCGUGGCGACACGUGCAGCUGACGAAUACUAAUCGAUCGAGGACUUAACCAA